This 465-nucleotide ribosomal RNA is filed under the name uncultured bacterium. Its description in RNAcentral is "partial 16S ribosomal RNA". It matches the Rfam family "Bacterial small subunit ribosomal RNA", at positions 28 to 507 of the family's 1533-position model. The record is from RNAcentral.
GACGAACGCUGGCGGCGUGCUUAACACAUGCAAGUCGAACGGAAAGGCCCCUUUGGGGGUACUCGAGUGGCGAACGGGUGAGUAACACGUGAGUAACCUGCCCUUGACUUCGGGAUAACUUCAGGAAACUGGGGCUAAUACCGGAUAGGAAUCCUUGCUGCAUGGUGGGGGUUGGAAAGCUUCGGCGGUUUUGGAUGGACUCGCGGCUUAUCAGCUUGUUGGUGGGGUAGUGGCUUACCAAGGCUUUGACGGUUAGCCGGCCUGAGAGGGCGACCGGCCACAUUGGGAAUGAGAUACGGCCCAGACUCCUACGGGAGGCAGCAGUGGGGAAUAUUGCACAAUGGGCGGAAGCCUGAUGCAGCAACGCCGCGUGCGGGAUGACGGCCUUCGGGUUGUAAACCGCGUUCAGCAGGGGCGAAGCUUGUGGUGACGGUACCUGCAGAAGAAGCACCGGCUAACUACGUG